RNAcentral lists this unclassified non-coding RNA (388 nucleotides) under plant metagenome. Its description in RNAcentral is "partial contains small subunit ribosomal RNA and internal transcribed spacer 1". The stretch from base 16 to 225 matches the Rfam family "Group I catalytic intron". Rfam says of the family: Group I catalytic introns are large self-splicing ribozymes. They catalyse their own excision from mRNA, tRNA and rRNA precursors in a wide range of organisms. The record is from RNAcentral.
AAGUCGUAACAAGGUUUCCGUAGGUCAAGUUGUGCCUACCACAGCGGUCCCCGCGACUGCUAGUUGACGUUUCGUCAGCGACACUGUUAACUUGCCGGAGAGACCCUCUAUAGGGAAAUCCGCAGCCCAUCGCCCCUACCCGGCGGUCGGUUCAGAGACUCAAUAACAGUGGGUUUGGCUAAGCCAAGCUUGAGAUAGAGCCCCGUCCCUGCUGGAAACAGCGGGGAGCAAACGGAACCUGCGGAAGGAUCAUUAAAGAAUAAAGGCCGCAAGGUCGCAUUCUCACCCUUUGUAAACAUAACUUCGUUGCUUUGGCAGGCCUUACAGCCUGCCAGAGGACUUAAACUCUGGAAUCUUUGAUGUCUGAGUUACUAUAUAAUAGUUAAAA